Eptatretus burgeri (inshore hagfish) is the source of this 1796-nucleotide long non-coding RNA. The record is from Ensembl. Lineage: Eukaryota; Metazoa; Chordata; Myxini; Myxiniformes; Myxinidae.
GGGGGGGGGGGGUACCUUUAACUCGGUGGGUUAUGGUGUAUAUUAAGCAUAAAUGUCUUAAUCUAGGCUAUCUAGAGAAGGCAAUUUCGUUCCGAUCGGGACAAACUGAAGUUAAGUUAUCGUGAAUAAAUAUUUAAGGAUUAUAAUUAGGUCAUGAUCUUGAAAAUUAGGUCAAGGUCAAAAAUUGUGUCAACCCGUGUACUUUCUAUUCACAAUGUUGAUGCAAAAUUUCAUUUUGAAAGUCCCAUCAGGUACUGAGAUACAGCUUGGAAAUUGAUACAGUUUGGAAAUUUGGAAUGUUGAUCGUGCAGGAAGAAAAAAAGAAAUUUCUUGAUUGUGGUUUACCACUCUUAGGGGUCUAAGAAAGUGUAAGAAAAAUUGAGGCAACAAUUGAUUGUUGAAACAAGCCCGACAACAGCAAUAAGCCUUCCCCUCUGCUAUAGUGGGAACUUUAAUAACAAGCAAUAAUAGGGAUUGAUGUUUUCACCCUUUUCUCUCUUUGUAUGUCUGUUUGUGUGCAGGAUAUCUCAAAAAGUUGUGGGUAGGUUUGGUGUGUGACAAGGAUGAACUGAUUAGAUUUUGCUGAAGAUCCGAAUCCUGCUCCUAGAAUUUUUUAAAAGUGAUGAUUCACCAUUGAGAGAUAGGGCUCAAAAACUAUAUACAGCACAAUAUCUCAAAAAGUUGCAGACUGAUUCGGCUGAAACUUGGUGGACAUGCUGUUGGGUGUGUGACAAGGAAAAAUUGAUUCAAUUUUGGUGAAGAUCCGGAUCUGAUAAUUUUCAAAGUGAUUCUUCACAAUUGAGAGAUCAGACCAAAAACGAUAUAGAAGAUCCAGCAUGAGAACAUUAUUGGUCCUGCUCUUGUUGGCGAGAGAAAGCAGCAAUGUUUGGGCAAAAGAUCUGGAGGAAUAUUCUGAAAAAAUAGGGGAAGUUGGGAGUACCAACAACACUCCCUUGCCAUGCUCCACCAGAAAAACGACAAGAUGUGGACUUUGAGUGGACGUUUGUGAACGACACAAAUGUGGUGAGAUUAAACAGGAAUUUACGAAACUACCCAACUGGGAUAAAAUGAAUAAAAUACUACAUUCAUUGAUGUUUCAUCAGUCAAACAUUGUAAACUGUUGAUGAUGUACUGUGUAAGCAGAUCUUGAUAUGAAAACAAUUGAAGAUGAAAGUGUUUUUUGUCAUCUAUUUAUUCUACAUGAUGCAAGGGAAGAUGAGUGUUGGUUAGUAUAGAGGAGAUGAUAUGAGAAGGGGGUGGGGAUGCGAGGAAGUGGGAGAGAAGAAAAGAGUUUGGAAUGGAACAGGCAUAAGAGAAGAAAAGAGCAAGUGGACAUGUAUUAAGCAUAUGUAUAUGUGGAAAGGAUGAGGGGGGGGGAGGGGGGUGGGCAGUGAGAGGGAGGUAAAAAAAUCUGAGCUAUAUCUGUGUUUGUCAUAAAACUAUACCCCUUGUAUGCAGUAAGUAUGUAAUUAUUCCUGUUUCAUACACAAGGCACUUUUCAGAUACAAUUCUCAGGGAAAUACCAGUUUAGAUUUAUAACCCACACCCCAAAAAUAAACUCCAGCUCAGGAAUGGAAAUUUAGCUAACCCAAAAGCAUUGUUUUCCUGAUCUCUGGGGAGAGCUAUUUUUGAGUGUUUAACUUCGUAUAAGGGAUGACUUCUAACGUGUAUGAAAUACAAUAUGAUGAACAACGUUGCAUAUUUGAAUGUACCUAACAACUCCUUCUGAGUGAUACGUGACAUCUAUUAGAUUAGCACAUAAAGAGUUUCUUCGUAACUCAAGUCAUUGGUGAGUC